RNAcentral lists this ribosomal RNA (563 nucleotides) under uncultured Flavobacteriia bacterium. RNAcentral's name for it is "bacterial SSU rRNA". It matches the Rfam family "Bacterial small subunit ribosomal RNA", at positions 8 to 570 of the family's 1533-position model. Lineage: Bacteria; Pseudomonadati; Bacteroidota; Flavobacteriia. The record is from RNAcentral.
AGGGUUUGAUCCUGGCUCAGGAUGAACGCUAGCGGCAGGCUUAACACAUGCAAGUCGAGGGGUAGAAGCAGCUUGCUGCUUUGAGACCGGCGCACGGGUGCGUAACGCGUAUACAAUCUACCUUUUACAGAGGGAUAGCCCAGAGAAAUUUGGAUUAAUACCUCAUAGUAUUUUCGAAUCGCAUGGUUUGAUUAUUAAAGUUCCAACGGUAAAAGAUGAGUAUGCGUCCCAUUAGCUAGAUGGUAAGGUAACGGCUUACCAUGGCAACGAUGGGUAGGGGUCCUGAGAGGGAGAUCCCCCACACUGGUACUGAGACACGGACCAGACUCCUACGGGAGGCAGCAGUGAGGAAUAUUGGACAAUGGGCGCAAGCCUGAUCCAGCCAUGCCGCGUGCAGGAAGACGGUCCUAUGGAUUGUAAACUGCUUUUAUACAGGAAGAAACACACCCUCGUGAGGGUACUUGACGGUACUGUAUGAAUAAGCAUCGGCUAACUCCGUGCCAGCAGCCGCGGUAAUACGGAGGAUGCAAGCGUUAUCCGGAAUCCUUGGGUUUAAAGGGUCC